Molecule: ribosomal RNA, 460 nt
Filed under: uncultured bacterium
Lineage: Bacteria
Description: partial 16S ribosomal RNA
Rfam family: Bacterial small subunit ribosomal RNA
Source: RNAcentral
CCUACGGGAGACUGCAGUGAGGAAUAUUGGUCAAUGGACGAGAGUCUGAACCAGCCAAGUCGCGUGAAGGAUGACUGCGCUAUGCAUUGUAAACUUCUUUUAUCUGGGAAUAAAAUGUUCCACGUGUGGGUGUUCGUAUGUACCAUAUGAAAAAGCAUCGGCUAACUCCGUGCCAGCAGCCGCGGUAAUACGGAGGAUCCGAGCGUUAUCCGGAUUUAUUGGGUUUAAAGGGUGCGUAGGUGGAUUGUUAAGUCAGUUGUGAAAGUCUGCGGCUCAACCGUAAAAUAGCAGUUGAAACUGGCAGUCUUGAGUACAGGAGAGGUGGGCGGAAUGCGUGGUGUAGCGGUGAAAUGCUUAGAUAUCACGCAGAACUCCGAUUGCGAAGGCAGCUCACCGGACUGCAACUGACGCUGAGGCACGAAAGUGUGGGUAUCAAACAGGAUUAGAUACCCUGGUAGUC